Molecule: small nuclear RNA, 193 nt
Organism: Echinops telfairi (small Madagascar hedgehog)
Lineage: Eukaryota; Metazoa; Chordata; Mammalia; Afrosoricida; Tenrecidae
Gene: U2
Rfam family: U2 spliceosomal RNA
About the family: U2 is a small nuclear RNA (snRNA) component of the spliceosome (involved in pre-mRNA splicing).
Source: Ensembl
AUUUCUUCUUGGCCUUUUGGGUGAUAUCAAGUGUAGCAUUUUUUAUAAUCAAUUUAAUAUCUGAUACAUCCUUUAUCCAAGGACAAUAUAGUAAAUGAAAAUUUUUUAAAUUAGGCGAUGAAACAAUAACGUGCUCCUUCCAUUCCACUCAUUGACCUGGUAUCACAGUACCUCCAAGAACAGUGUGCUAAAA